This 468-nucleotide ribosomal RNA is filed under the name uncultured bacterium. Its description in RNAcentral is "partial 16S ribosomal RNA". It matches the Rfam family "Bacterial small subunit ribosomal RNA", at positions 28 to 507 of the family's 1533-position model. The record is from RNAcentral.
GACGAACGCUGGCGGCGGGCUUAACACAUGCAAGUCGAACGGAAAGGCCCUGCGUUUGUGGGGUGCUCGAGUGGCGAACGGGUGAGUAACACGUGAGUAACCUGCCCUUGACUUUGGGAUAACUUCAGGAAACGGGGGCUAAUACCGGAUAGGAGCUCCUGCUGCAGGGAGGGGGUUGGAAAGUUUCGGCGGUUGGGGAUGGACUCGCGGCUUAUCAGCUUGUUGGUGGGGUAGUGGCUUACCAAGGCUUUGACGGGUAGCCGGCCUGAGAGGGUGGCCGGCCACCAUGGGACUGCGAUACGGCCCAGACUCCUACGGGAGGCAGCAGUGGGGAAUCUUGCCCAAUGGGCGGAAGCCUGAUGCAGCAACGCCGCGUGCGGGAUGACGGCCUUCGGGUUGUAAACCGCUUUCGCCUGUGACGAAGCGUGAGUGACGGUAAUGGGUAAAGAAGCACCGGCUAACUACGUG